CUUGGUGGUUUUAGCAAGACUGUACCACCCGUUCCCAUCUCGAACACGGCAGUGAAACGUUUUAGCGCCUUCGAUACUGCUCCCGCAAGGGUGUGGGAAAAGAGGUCACCGCCAGGG
Molecule: ribosomal RNA, 117 nt
Filed under: Chloroflexota bacterium
Lineage: Bacteria; Bacillati; Chloroflexota
Source: RNAcentral